RNAcentral lists this unclassified non-coding RNA (200 nucleotides) under soil metagenome. RNAcentral's name for it is "partial contains internal transcribed spacer 2 and large subunit ribosomal RNA". The record is from RNAcentral.
CUGUUCGAGCGUCAUUUCAACCCUCAAGCUCCUGCUUGGUAUUGGGCGUCACUUUUUGGUGCGCCUUAAAAUCAGUGGCGGUGCAUCUAGCUUCAAGCGUAGUAAUUCUCUCGCUCUGGAGGCCUAGGUGUGGACCUGCCAGCAACACUUUAUUUUCGAAGGUUGACCUCGGAUCAGGUAGGGAUACCCGCUGAACUUAA